UGCAAGUAUCCGCAUACCCGUGAAAACGCCCUUAACACCUUUUUUAGGAUAAGGAGCCGGUAUCAGGCACAAUAUCCCUGCCCACAACACCUAGCUUCGCCACACCCCUAAGGGUAUUCAGCAGUGAUAAACAUUGUUAAUAAGCGCCAGCUUGAUUCAGUCAAAGUAAAUAGAGCCGGCCAACCCGGUGCCAGCCGCCGCGGCUAUACCGUCGGGCCCAAGUUAACAGGUAACGGCGUUAAGCGUGUUUUAAGUACCUUAAACAAUUAGAAUUUAAUUUUAACCAAGUUGUGAUAUACUUGUUACCAAGAAAAACAAAACGAAAGUUAUUCUAAUACAACCACUUGAACCCACGACAGCUAGGACACAAACUGGGAUUAGGUACCCCACUAUGCCUAGCCGUAAAAUAUUUAUUUACAUCCUAAACCGCCAGGGAAUUACGAGCCCAAGCUUAAAACCCAAAGGACUUGACGGUGCCCCACCCACCUAGAGGAGCCUGUUCUAUAAUCGAUUUUCCCCGAUAUACCCAACCACUUUUAGACCAUCAGCCUGUAUACCUCCGUCGUAAGCUUACCAUAUGAACGUAAAAUAGUGAGCUAAAAGAUCUUUAAUCAAUACGUCAGGUCAAGGUGCAGCCCACAAAGCGGAAAGAAAUGGGCUACAAUUUCUAACUUAGAACACACGAAAGACUGUAUGAAACACAGCCAUGAAGGCGGAUUUAGUAGUAAAAAGAAAAUAGAGAGUUCUUUUUAAUUAGGCACUGGGACGCGUACACACCGCCCGUCACCCUCUUCAAAUGCCUAACCAAGUUUAUAACACAUUUUGCACUACAGAA
Molecule: non-coding RNA, 835 nt
Filed under: Metaphrynella pollicaris (Malaysian treefrog)
Lineage: Eukaryota; Metazoa; Chordata; Amphibia; Anura; Microhylidae
Description: partial 12S rRNA
Rfam family: Bacterial small subunit ribosomal RNA
Source: RNAcentral